GCUCGGACACCGCCGAACCACCGGACCGCUCUGCGGCGAGGUGGACCGGGGACCCACCGCAGUCCUGGGGUGAGUUCUCACGUGCGCCGGGAACGGGGCACACGCGCCGACGACGGCGCGCCGAGACAGGGCGUUCCUUCGCCCGAACCCGUCAGCUGACUCGGUAGGCGGUCGAGUGGAAGAAA
Modestobacter marinus is the source of this 185-nucleotide regulatory RNA element. It matches the Rfam family "c-di-AMP riboswitch aptamer (ydaO/yuaA leader)". From Rfam's summary of the family: This family represents a conserved RNA structure found upstream of the ydaO and yuaA genes in Bacillus subtilis and related genes in other bacteria. The ydaO/yuaA element is thought to act as a genetic "off" switch for the ydaO and yuaA genes in its native state. The record is from Rfam. Lineage: Bacteria; Bacillati; Actinomycetota; Actinomycetes; Geodermatophilales; Geodermatophilaceae.